UUAAUAUCAUAAUUUUAACACAAUAAUCUCACAUUUUUAAGCUAAGAUCAAAUGGCCAAUUACAGUAAGACAAUGGCUUUUCUUAGUAUUGCAGCUCUUCUUCUUGCACUUCUUUUAGUGCAUGUUGCCGAAAGUCGAGUGCUUCCCAAAUCUCAUCAUAGCAAGCCAAAACCAAUUCUAAUCUGUACGGAUGUGUACGGAGCAGUAGCUGGCGACACUUGCUUCGACAUCACAAAAGCCUUCAAUCUCACAACUGAUUUCUUCACUACCAUGAAUCCCAACCUCGACUGCGACAAGAUCUUCAUUUCUCAAUGGCUUUGUGUCGAUGGCCUCGCUCUCUCUGGUUGAUCCAUUCGAAGCACAUGAUAUAUGAUGGAAAAAAUAAAGUGAUCACUUUCAAGAAUAAGUGUUAGGGUUUGGUUUUCUCUUUUUCAUUUCAAUAUAUAGCUUAUGUGUGCAUGCACUCGGCACUGAUUGUCGGUGAGAUUUGAACUAAUGACCUUUUGGUCGUGAAGUUACCCGUUUCACCGGAGUCGGGCUAGGGUUGCCGCACCCGAAGGGGCCUAAAUGAUGUUGUUUUAGUAAUAAUAUGUAUUGUUAUAAGAUGUUUAUUCGUGUU
This is a long non-coding RNA of Salvia miltiorrhiza (redroot sage), 619 nucleotides long. RefSeq lists it as uncharacterized. The record is from RefSeq and is a predicted model, not a curated record. The transcript has 2 exons. NCBI's taxonomy places the organism in Eukaryota, Viridiplantae, Streptophyta, Magnoliopsida, Lamiales, Lamiaceae.